This 468-nucleotide ribosomal RNA is filed under the name uncultured bacterium. Its description in RNAcentral is "partial 16S ribosomal RNA". It matches the Rfam family "Bacterial small subunit ribosomal RNA", at positions 28 to 507 of the family's 1533-position model. The record is from RNAcentral.
GACGAACGCUGGCGGCGUGCUUAACACAUGCAAGUCUAACGGAAAGGCUCUUCUUUUGUGGGUUGCUCGAGUGGCGAACGGGUGAGUAACACGUGAGUAACCUGCCCUUGACUUUGUUAUAACUUUAUGAAACUGGGGCUAAUACCUGAUAUGAUCUCCUGCUGCAUGGUUGGGGUUGGAAAGUUUCGGCGGUUGGGGAUUUACUCGCGGCUUAUCAGCUUGUUGGUUGGGUAGUGGCUUACCAAUGCUUUGACGGGUAGCCGGCCUGGGAGGGUGACCGGCUCCAUUGGGAAUGAGAUACGGCACAGACUCCUACGGGAGGCAGGAGUGGCGAAUAGUGCAGAAUGGCGGGAAGCGUGAGGUAGAAACGCUAGGAUCGGGAUGAUGUCCUUCGGGUGGUAAACCGAUUGCGCCUGUGAUGAAGCAUGAGUGACGGUAAUGGGUAAAGAAGCACCGGCUAACUACGUG